This 274-nucleotide ribosomal RNA is filed under the name uncultured bacterium. RNAcentral's name for it is "partial 16S ribosomal RNA". It matches the Rfam family "Bacterial small subunit ribosomal RNA", at positions 523 to 796 of the family's 1533-position model. The record is from RNAcentral.
AUACGGGGGGUGCAAGCGUUAAUCGGAAUUACUGGGCGUAAAGCGCGCGUAGGCGGUUAAAUAAGUUGGAUGUGAAAUCCCCGGGCUCAACCUGGGAACUGCAUUCAAAACUGUUUAACUAGAGUAUGGUAGAGGGAAGUGGAAUUCCAGGUGUAGCGGUGAAAUGCGUAGAUAUCUGGAGGAACAUCAGUGGCGAAGGCGACUUCCUGGAUCAAUACUGACGCUGAGGUGCGAAAGCGUGGGGAGCAAACAGGAUUAGAUACCCGAGUAGUCC